RNAcentral lists this ribosomal RNA (490 nucleotides) under uncultured bacterium. Its description in RNAcentral is "partial 16S ribosomal RNA". It matches the Rfam family "Bacterial small subunit ribosomal RNA", at positions 30 to 507 of the family's 1533-position model. The record is from RNAcentral.
AUUGAACGCUGGCGGCAGGCCUAACACAUGCAAGUCGAAUGGUAACAGGAAACAGCUUGCUGUUUCGCUGACGAGUGGCGGACGGGUGAGUCAUGUCUGGGAAACUGCCUGAUGGAGGGGGAUAACUACUGGAAACGGUAGCUAAUACCGCAUAACGUCGCAAGACCAAAGAGGGGGACCUUCGGGCCUCUUGCCAUCAGAUGUGCCCAGAUGGGAUUAGCUAGUAGGUGGGGUAACGGCUCACCUAGGCGGCGAUCCCUAGCUGGUCUGAGAGGAUGACCAGCCACACUGGAACUGAGACACGGUCCAGACUCCGACGGGAGGCAGCAGUGGGGAAUAUUGCACAAUGGGCGCAAGCCUGAUGCAGCCAUGCUGCGUGUAUGAAGAAGGCCUUCGGGUUGUAAAGUACUUUCAGCGGGGAGGAAGGGAGUAAAGUUAAUACCUUUGCUCAUUGACGUUACCCGCAGAAGAAGCUCCGGCUAACUCCGUG